Bombus pascuorum is the source of this 1576-nucleotide long non-coding RNA. RefSeq lists it as uncharacterized. The transcript is spliced from 2 exons. Lineage: Eukaryota; Metazoa; Arthropoda; Insecta; Hymenoptera; Apidae. The record is from RefSeq and is a predicted model, not a curated record.
AUAUUUCGCGUCAAAUGUAAAUUAUAGUACGAUGGUACACGAAUAACAUCAAUUAUUUCAAUAAUGACAGCGAAAGAAAAGAAACAACGUUUUGAUCGAGUAAAAGAUGCACGUGAUCGUAAAAUUAUAAAAUAUUAGACAGUUAAUUAUACCGAUUAGCGAGAACAACAGCUUUUGUUAAUUCAUUAACGGGUAAUUUUCACUCGAUCGGCCUUUCCAGCGUAAAACGACGUUCACGAGACGAAAUAGUACGUAUUACAUUAAUGUCGCCGAGCACAUUAAUUUUAAUUAUUCCGCCAUGCUAAAAUGUUGAAUGGAAUUAACGACGAGCUGUCGUUUGUCUUCGUCAGCUUCGUUCGUACGACUUCAUCCUUAUUAAAAUAGCUGCAUCGUAUUUUUCUCAACUUGCCUUAGUAUCUCUGUUCUAUUUUAGCAUCGUGCGAAUUCACGACCAUAGGGUUACAGUAUCAUGCACCAAGAUGGCGACUCGAAGUAAACGUUCUUGAUGCAUCACGUGCUACAGGCUCGUACGAUCGUUUUAAGUAUCGAAACAUUAAAUCAUCCGACAGCAUUUGCCGUGUUACGGAUUAUAAACGACCCAGUUGUAAGUCAAUCGGGAUUACGUUGAAGGUGAUCGAUUAAUUGAAGUACAUUUUGCGCGACGGCCGGUCGGCCAGGCGCAUCAACGUCACUGAAAUAAGCGGUCUUGGAGUAUUUAUUGCGAAAAUCGGCAACGAUGUUCACUCGUAAAAUCUAAGACCAAUAAUUAGCGAUAAAAUAUGCUUCACAUGCUUUAAACUUAGUAAUAAAUUUGCGAAACUUUUGCGUAUAGGUAUCUUCUGCAAGCUUCAACGCAGAACUAUCUUUCCAUUUCAUAAAUCAUAAACAGGUACUUUGCAAUGAAUAAUACUUUGACGAACGUUUUCAUAAUUGCGAUAAGAACUAGAAUUUUUUGUUAAUUUUAUUUGAUAAUCGAUAAUACGUAAUUGAAAAUAACAGUGGAUUGAGAUUAUUGCGAUGAUCAACUGUAAGAUUAAAAGUUUCUCAACGGAACGAGUGACCUGAUAAUUCGUCUUAAUACGAAUCGGAGAGAAUGAGGUUAUCGAUUGACGAUUGCCAAUCAUUCUCGAAGAAAUUUCAUUAUGCCGUGCAAACACCUAAAUAUUUGAGUGCUAUAUUUAUAAAAAGAUCGACGAACCUGAGGGAAGCCCGAUGCAGACGUUGCGCCGUACAAUCGUGUUUUCAUUACUCUCCCUAUAUUUCUUUCUCUUCACUUUCUUGACGUUAUUCCGAGUAAAUAACAUUUACCAUUGCGAACACGCCGGACUUCGAGACAAAUUGAUCUCGCUGCAGUCACGUACGGUCUCGUGUCGAAACAACAUAAAAAUGUAAUUACUGCUGUCAUCGGAAACGAGCGGAGGAAAACGAAGAACAAGAAGGGGUGGAAGUAAAAGUAGAAGAAGAAGAGGAAGACGGUGUUAGCUGAAUUGAAAGAGGGACGUGAUGUUUAGUUUGGCAAUGAAGCGAGGAUUCGUGGCAGAAGGAAAAUUUUCAAGAAAUAAAUCUCGUCCUUUUA